Dromiciops gliroides (monito del monte) is the source of this 69-nucleotide small nucleolar RNA. NCBI's taxonomy places the organism in Eukaryota, Metazoa, Chordata, Mammalia, Microbiotheria, Microbiotheriidae. The record is from RefSeq and is a predicted model, not a curated record.
UUUAAAAUAUGAUGAAUUCAAUACCGCCCCAGUCUGAUCAUGGUGACUGAAGGGUAUUUCUGAACUAGG